UCUACGGGCGGCAGCAGUGGGGGAUAUUGCACAAUGGGGGAAACCCUGAUGCAGCGACGCCGCGUGAGUGAAGAAGUAUUUCGGUAUGUAAAGCUCUAUCAGCAGGGAAGAAAAAAGACGGUACCUGACUAAGAAGCCCCGGCUAACUACGUGCCAGCAGCCGCGGUAAUACGUAGGGGGCAAGCGUUAUCCGGAUUUACUGGGUGUAAAGGGAGCGUAGACGGCAAUACAAGUCGGAAGUGAAAUACCCGGGCUCAACCUGGGAACUGCUUUGGAAACUGUAUGGCUAGAGUGCUGGAGAGGUAAGUGGAAUUCCUAGUGUAGCGGUGAAAUGCGUAGAUAUUAGGAGGAACACCAGUGGCGAAGGCGGCUUACUGGACUGUAACUGACGUUGAGGCUCGAAAGCGUGGGGAGCAAACAGGAUUAGAUACCCUGGUAGUC
Molecule: ribosomal RNA, 441 nt
Filed under: uncultured bacterium
Lineage: Bacteria
Description: partial 16S ribosomal RNA
Rfam family: Bacterial small subunit ribosomal RNA
Source: RNAcentral